GGUGUAGUGUAGCGGUUAUCACAUGGGAUUCUGAUCCCGAAAUUACGAUACUGACUUUCCCAUGACCCAGGUUCGAUUCCUGGCAGGACCU
Non-coding RNA from Dendrothele bispora CBS 962.96, 91 nucleotides. The record is from the annotation of a GenBank genome assembly. NCBI's taxonomy places the organism in Eukaryota, Fungi, Basidiomycota, Agaricomycetes, Agaricales.